GACGAACGCUGGCGGCGUGCCUAAUACAUGCAAGUUGAGCGCUGAAGGUUGGUACUUGUACCAACUGGAUGAGCAGCGAACGGGUGAGUAACGCGUGGGGAAUCUGCCUUUGAGCGGGGGACAACAUUUGGAAACGAAUGCUAAUACCGCAUAAAAACUUUAAACACAAGUUUUAAGUUUGAAAGAUGCAAUUGCAUCACUCAAAGAUGAUCCCGCGUUGUAUUAGCUAGUUGGUGAGGUAAAGGCUCACCAAGGCGAUGAUACAUAGCCGACCUGAGAGGGUGAUCGGCCACAUUGGGACUGAGACACGGCCCAAACUCCUACGGGAGGCAGCAGUAGGGAAUCUUCGGCAAUGGACGAAAGUCUAACCGAGCAACGCCGCGUGAGUGAAGAAGGUUUUCGGAUCGUAAAACUCUGUCGGUAGAGAAGAACGUUGGUGAGAGUGGAAAGCUCAUCAAGUGACGGUAACUACCCAGAAAGGGACGGCUAACUACGUG
Molecule: ribosomal RNA, 497 nt
Filed under: uncultured bacterium
Lineage: Bacteria
Description: partial 16S ribosomal RNA
Rfam family: Bacterial small subunit ribosomal RNA
Source: RNAcentral